RNAcentral lists this transfer-messenger RNA (359 nucleotides) under Chthoniobacterales. RNAcentral's name for it is "Udaeobacter sp003219435 Standard tmRNA". It matches the Rfam family "transfer-messenger RNA". Rfam says of the family: Bacterial tmRNA, also known as 10Sa RNA or SsrA, is named for its dual tRNA and mRNA-like properties. RNAcentral also lists the same sequence under 1 other name. Lineage: Bacteria; Pseudomonadati; Verrucomicrobiota; Spartobacteria. The record is from RNAcentral.
GGGGGCGUACUGGCUUCGACUCAUCGUUUGAAGCGCAGGCGGCAUGUCGAGGACGGUUCGUUGGCCUCGUUAAAAACCGAACCAAAACAAAUAAACGCAGAUCACCAAGAUCUCGCUCUCGCGGCUUAAUUGACCGUGACGUUUGGAGUUGGACGCCUGCUACGGCGCCAAACGUGGACAGCAGGCUAAUCAAACGGCGGAGCGACCGCGCCGGAUGGUGAAGGAAAUUCGUGGACGCUCGGGAGCCGGCAGUGUGCCGGCGCAAGGUUCGGCUCCUUAAAACUUAUCACCGGAUAAACAUGUAGAUGUUUGCGUGAAUAGCGACGAGGACAGGGGUUCAACUCCCCUCGCCUCCAGCC